RNAcentral lists this ribosomal RNA (501 nucleotides) under uncultured Bdellovibrionales bacterium. RNAcentral describes it as "bacterial SSU rRNA". It matches the Rfam family "Bacterial small subunit ribosomal RNA", at positions 8 to 525 of the family's 1533-position model. Lineage: Bacteria; Pseudomonadati; Bdellovibrionota; Bdellovibrionia; Bdellovibrionales. The record is from RNAcentral.
AGAGUUUGAUCCUGGCUCAGAACGAACGCUUGCGGCGCGCCUAAUACAUGCAAGUCGAACGAGAAAGGUCCUUCGGGAACGAGUAAAGUGGCGGACGGGUGAGGAACGCGUGGAUAACCUACCCUUCAGCGGGGGAUAACUAUUGGAAACGAUAGCUAAUACCGCAUAAGACUACGACUCCUGCGGGUAACGUAGUAAAAGGCUUCGGCCACUGAAGGAUGGGUCCGCGUCCGAUUAGCUUGUUGGUGGGGUAAAAGCCUACCAAGGCUCCGAUCGGUAGCUGGUCUCAGAGGAUGAUCAGCCACACUGGAACUGAGACACGGUCCAGACUCCUACGGGAGGCAGCAGUAGGGAAUAUUGCACAAUGGAGGAAACUCUGAUGCAGCGACGCCGCGUGAGCGAUGAAGGCCUUCGGGUUGUAAAGCUCUGUGAUAUGGGAAGAUAAUGACGGUACCAUAUCAGAAAGGACCGGCUAACUUCGUGCCAGCAGCCGCGGUAAUA